GCAAGUCGAGGGGUAACGGAAGUAGCUUGCUACUAGACGACGACCGGCGCACGGGUGAGUAACGCGUAUGUAAUCUGCCUUGUACAGAGGGAUAGCCCAGAGAAAUUUGGAUUAAUACCUCAUAGUAUUACUGAGUCGCAUGAUUUGGUAAUUAAAGCUCCGGCGGUACAAGAUGAACAUGCGUGACAUUAGCUAGUUGGUAAGGUAACGGCUUACCAAGGCUACGAUGUCUAGGGGUUCUGAGAGGAUGAUCCCCCACACUGGUACUGAGACACGGACCAGACUCCUACGGGAGGCAGCAGUGAGGAAUAUUGGUCAAUGGACGCAAGUCUGAACCAGCCAUCCCGCGUGAAGGAUGACUGCCCUAUGGGUUGUAAACUUCUUUUAUAUGCAAAUAAACCUACUUUCGUGAAAGUAGCUGAAGGUAGCAUAUGAAUAAACACCGGCUAACUCCGUGCCAGCAGCCGCGGUAAUACGGAGGGUGUAAGCGUUAUCCGGAUUUAUUGGGUUUAAAGGGUAC
Molecule: ribosomal RNA, 520 nt
Filed under: uncultured bacterium
Lineage: Bacteria
Description: bacterial SSU rRNA
Rfam family: Bacterial small subunit ribosomal RNA
Source: RNAcentral